This is a long non-coding RNA of Myotis brandtii (Brandt's bat), 311 nucleotides long. RefSeq lists it as uncharacterized. The transcript is spliced from 2 exons. The record is from RefSeq and is a predicted model, not a curated record. NCBI's taxonomy places the organism in Eukaryota, Metazoa, Chordata, Mammalia, Chiroptera, Vespertilionidae.
UGAAUGCUUUGAAAGAGAAGUGGUAUGUACCCAACAUAAUAAAGCCACUAGCUAUUUAUGCUGAAGGUUGUCUGGUUGCCUGAAUGAUUUAUCAGAAAGAGCGUAGUCUAUCCCCUUGUCUCAGAUAUUUUAGUCUAACUCCAGAGCAUAACUUAAAAAGUUGAGUAUUGAUAUCUUAGGGAAAAAGAGCAGAAAAGCAUGUAAAAUCUAAAAUUUCUUAACUCUCAAAAAAAUUUAAAAAGGUAGAUAGUAUCAAACAACCAAGACUGUAUACUCUUACCAAAAGUACUGGAAAUAACAUUUUAAAUCUG